AACGUUUGAUAGUCCAUCGUUUGCAAGAAAAAUGAGAAAAAUCAUAUGCGUAUCAAGGAUCCCAAUCGAUACGAUACAAUCGAUUCCUCAUUCGGUGUAUCCAUUGACUUAGACAAUAUAACAAACUUUUUCUACUUCCAAUUGUUUGAUAGUCGUUCGAUAGUGUUUGAUAGUCUUGUAAAAACAUUUGAUAGUCAAUAGUUUCUUUCAGAUAUCAGUGCCGCGAUCAGAUGCAUCCAAUGAACAGAGAAACAACGAUGCGCUCUCCGCUCUCGGCUUAUUUUCGAACACACCUAUAGUUCUCCGGUGCACAUGAAAAAGCUUCUAAAAAUGGACUUAUAGCCUUUCCAGGGCUCAAUCGAUGCGAAAUCGUUUGAUAGUUACGAAUUGACUAAUAAAAACGUUUGAUAGUCCAUCGUUUGCAAGAAAAAUGAGAAAAACCAUAUGCGAAUCAAGGCUACACGUAGUUAGCCCCUCAUCUAUAACGGAUUUGAAUGAUUUUUUGUUUGCAAUCGUUUGUAGGUCGUUUGUACGUGUUUGAUAUUGUAUCCACGACGAUUGAUAGUCCAUCAUUUAUUUAUAAUAUUAAAAUUAAUUUUCUAGGGAAUUUUUCUUUAUGUUAGCCCCUCAUUCAAAUAUUUUAUAAACUAAUCGUGUUUUGCUCAUAUGCAAUCGUUUGUAGGUCGUUUGUAGGUACUUUAUAUGUCAUUGAUGAUAUGAAAUGACUGAUUCUUUAAUCGUAAAUAAUGAAAGAAAUUUUAUCUAGGGAAUUCCAUAAACUGCAUCUAGCGCGCAUGCGUGAAGACUUCAAUAUGUCAAAUCACAUUUUACAUGUACUCAUCCGUAUAUUGUUAUUAAAUAUUGCAAUCCGAGAUAUCAGAUAUUUAUUAGUGCUCUUUUCUUAGUUCUGAAAUAUUUACAAUUGUACAGUUUAGUAUUUACUAUUUCAUAUUCAUUAAAUUGUUAAUUAAGUGGAUGAUUAUAAAGAAAGGUCGAGUAGUACUCUUAAGGUUAUAUGAUAAAUGCAGCAAACGAAUGACGAUGGUGAUAAUUGUGUCAGCAGAAAUUUUGAAUCUCUUCUGAAUGCUGGUGAUAUUGAGGUAGAGUUUAAAGCAGUUAUUAUCUACAGAGAAGGAAAUACUGUGUAAUCUGUUCUCGGUUUUCUUAUUCAAAAGAAGUGGAUGCUCUAACAACGGAUAAACAUGUAUCAUCAAUUGUUCUUGAAAAAUAGACUCUGUUUUGGAUGCUUAACGUGAAUGGAACGUUGGCUUUAUCUCUACAUAAAUACUGUUACCUCCAUCACAAUUAAGAGAUACCGGUGUCCAG
Molecule: long non-coding RNA, 1326 nt
Organism: Cephus cinctus (wheat stem sawfly)
Lineage: Eukaryota; Metazoa; Arthropoda; Insecta; Hymenoptera; Cephidae
Exons: 3
Source: RefSeq, a predicted model, not a curated record